This 467-nucleotide ribosomal RNA is filed under the name uncultured bacterium. RNAcentral describes it as "partial 16S ribosomal RNA". It matches the Rfam family "Bacterial small subunit ribosomal RNA", at positions 28 to 523 of the family's 1533-position model. The record is from RNAcentral.
GACGAACGCUGGCGGCGUGCUUAACACAUGCAAGUCGAGCGGGAAACUUCGGUUUCCAGCGGCGGACGGGUGAGUAACACGUGGGCAACCUGCCUCACAAUGAGGGAUAGCCUUCCGAAAGGAAGAUUAAUACCUCAUAACACAAGAGAAACGCAUGUUUCUUUUGCCAAAGAAUUUCGUUGUGAGAUGGGCCCGCGGCGCAUUAGCUUGUUGGUGAGGUAACGGCUCACCAAGGCUUCGAUGCGUAGCCGACCUGAGAGGGUGAUCGGCCACAUUGGAACUGAGACACGGUCCAGACUCCUACGGGAGGCAGCAGUGGGGAAUAUUGCACAAUGGAGGAAACUCUGAUGCAGCAACGCCGCGUGAGUGAUGAAGGUCUUCGGAUUGUAAAGCUCUGUCUUCUGGGACGAUAAUGACGGUACCAGAGGAGGAAGCCAUGGCUAACUACGUGCCAGCAGCCGCGGUAA